AACGCAAAUUGCGCCUUCUUUCGGAGGGCAUGUCUGUUUGAGGGCACCAUUUAACAAAUAAUGUGCGUGUCGUUUACGGACGACGUGCGCACGUUGAUGAGCUUUUCCGAAAAAACCAGGUUUUUUUGGUGGCGCAUAAUGAACAGCGUGGGCUUUUUUCUUCGAUUCUCGUGUAGUAAAUCUUCAACGCUUGGGUUGAGAAAAAGUGCGUGCCGCGCAAUGGGUGUGGCGAAGUUUACCCCUGCCCCAAUGCCACUCUUUCCCUGCGAAAGAACAUCUUUUAUUCAGGGCCUCAAAUCAGACAAGAGUACCCGCUGAACUUAA
RNAcentral lists this unclassified non-coding RNA (324 nucleotides) under uncultured Paraglomerales. RNAcentral's name for it is "sequence contains ITS2". Lineage: Eukaryota; Fungi; Glomeromycota; Glomeromycetes; Paraglomerales. The record is from RNAcentral.